This 468-nucleotide ribosomal RNA is filed under the name uncultured bacterium. Its description in RNAcentral is "partial 16S ribosomal RNA". It matches the Rfam family "Bacterial small subunit ribosomal RNA", at positions 28 to 507 of the family's 1533-position model. The record is from RNAcentral.
GACGAACGCUGGCGGCGUGCUUAACACAUGCAAGUCGAACGGAAAGGCCCUGCUUUUGUGGGGUGCUCGAGUGGCGAACGGGUGAGUAACACGUGAGUAACCUGCCCUUGACUUUGGGAUAACUUCAGGAAACUGGGGCUAAUACCGGAUAGGAGCUCCUGCUGCAUGGUGGGGGUUGGAAAGUUUCGGCGGUUGGGGAUGGACUCGCGGCUUAUCAGCUUGUUGGUGGGGUAGUGGCUUACCAAGGCUUUGACGGGUAGCCGGCCUGAGAGGGUGACCGGCAACAUUGGGACUGAGAUAAGGCCCAGACUCCUACGGGAGGCAGCAGUGGGGAAUAUUGCACAAUGGGCGGAAGCCUGAUGCAGCAACGCCGCGUGCGGGAUGACGGCCUUCGGGUUGUAAACCGCUUUCGCCUGUGACGAAGCGUGAGUGACGGUAAUGGGUAAAGAAGCACCGGCUAACUACGUG